Molecule: long non-coding RNA, 540 nt
Organism: Eriocheir sinensis (Chinese mitten crab)
Lineage: Eukaryota; Metazoa; Arthropoda; Malacostraca; Decapoda; Varunidae
Exons: 3
Source: RefSeq, a predicted model, not a curated record
UUAUGUGAGGCGGUUACUCCCUUGUUCCUUAUAGCCUUCAUCUUAUUAUAUUAAAGGUUACUCCCUUGUUCGUUAUAGCCUUCAUCUUAUUAUAUUAAAGGUUACUCCCUUGUUCGUUAUAGCCUUCAUCUUAUUAUAUUAAAGGUUACUCCCUUGUUCGUUAUAGCCUUCAUCUUAUUAUAUUAAAGGUUACUCCCUUCUUCGUUAUAGCCUUCAUCUUAUUAUAUUAAAGGUUACUCCCUUGUUCGUUAUAGCCUUCAUCUUAUUAUAUUAAAGGUUACUCACUUCUUCGUUAUAGCCUUCAUCUUAUUAUAUUAAAGGUUACUCCCUUGUUCGUUAUAGCCUUCAUCUUAUUAUAUUAAAGGUUACUCCCUUGUUCGUUAUAGCCUUCAUCUUAUUAUAUUAAAGGUUACUCCCUUGUUCGUUAUAGCCUUCAUCUUAUUAUAUUAAAGGUUACUCCCUUCUUCGUUAUAGCCUUCAUCUUAUUAUAUUAAAGGUUACUCCCUUGUUCGUUAUAGCCUUCAUCUUAUUAUAUUAAAG